This 54-nucleotide transfer RNA is filed under the name Loxodonta africana (African savanna elephant). It matches the Rfam family "tRNA", at positions 10 to 63 of the family's 71-position model. Rfam says of the family: Transfer RNA (tRNA) molecules are approximately 80 nucleotides in length. Their secondary structure includes four short double-helical elements and three loops (D, anti-codon, and T loops). The record is from Rfam by way of RNAcentral. Lineage: Eukaryota; Metazoa; Chordata; Mammalia; Proboscidea; Elephantidae.
GUUCAGUGGUAGAAUUCUCGCCUUCCAUGUGAGAGGGCUGAGUUCAAAUCCCAG